AUAGCAUAUCAAUAAGCGGAGGAAAAGAAACCAACAGGGAUUGCCCUAGUAACGGCGAGUGAAGCGGCAACAGCUCAAAUUUGAAAUCUGGCUCUUUUAGAGUCCGAGUUGUAAUUUGCAGAGGGCGCUUUGGCUUUGGCAGCGGUCCAAGUUCCUUGGAACAGGACGUCACAGAGGGUGAGAAUCCCGUACGUGGUCGCUAGCUAUUGCCGUGUAAAGCCCCUUCGACGAGUCGAGUUGUUUGGGAAUGCAGCUCUAAAUGGGAGGUAAAUUUCUUCUAAAGCUAAAUAUUGGCCAGAGACCGAUAGCGCACAAGUAGAGUGAUCGAAAGAUGAAAAGCACUUUGGAAAGAGAGUCAAACAGCACGUGAAAUUGUUGAAAGGGAAGCGCUUGCAGCCAGACUUGCUUGCAGUUGCUCAUCCGGGCUUUUGCCCGGUGCACUCUUCUGCAGGCAGGCCAGCAUCAGUUUGGGCGGUGGGAUAAAGGUCUCUGACACGUUCCUUCCUUCGGGUUGGCCAUAUAGGGGAGACGUCAUACCACCAGCCUGGACUGAGGUCCGCGCAUCUGCUAGGAUGCUGGCGUAAUGGCUGUAAGCGGCCCGUCUUGAAACACGGACCAAGGAGUCUAACAUCUAUGCGAGUGUUUGGGUGUCAAGCCCGAGCGCGUAAUGAAAGUGAACGGAGGUGGGAACCCGCAAGGGUGCACCAUCGACCGAUCCUGAAGUUUACGGAAGGAUUUGAGUAAGAGCAUGGCUGUUGGGACCCGAAAGAUGGUGAACUAUGCUUGAAUAGGGUGAAGCCAGAGGAAACUCUGGUGGAGGCUCGCAGCGGUUCUGACGUGCAAAUCGAUCGUCAAAUUUGGGCAUAGGGGCGAAAGACUAAUCGAACUAUCUAGUAGCUGGUUCCUGCCGAU
Molecule: ribosomal RNA, 912 nt
Filed under: Curvularia protuberata
Lineage: Eukaryota; Fungi; Ascomycota; Dothideomycetes; Pleosporales; Pleosporaceae
Description: LSU rRNA
Rfam family: Eukaryotic large subunit ribosomal RNA
Source: RNAcentral